CUACGGGGGGCAGCAGUGAGGAAUUUUGCGCAAUGGGGGAAACCCUGACGCAGCAACGCCGCGUGAGUGAUGAAGGCCUUCGGGUCGUAAAGCUCUGUCAAGUGGGAAGAACCUACCUAUGGGUAAUAUUCAUGGGUACUGACGGUACCACUGAAGGAAGCACCGGCUAACUCCGUGCCAGCAGCCGCGGUAAUACGGGGGGUGCAAGCGUUAUUCGGAAUUAUUGGGCGUAAAGGGCGCGUAGGCGGUCUUGUUAGUCAGAUGUGAAAGCCCGGGGCUCAACCCCGGAAGUGCAUUUGGUACUGCAAGACUUGAGUAUGGGAGGGGGAAGUGGAAUUCCUGGUGUAGAGGUGAAAUUCGUAGAUAUCAGGAGGAACAUCUGUGGCGAAGGCGACUUCCUGGACCAAUACUGACGCUGAGGCGCGAAGGCGUGGGUAGCAAACAGGAUUAGAUACCCGGGUAGUC
Molecule: ribosomal RNA, 465 nt
Filed under: uncultured bacterium
Lineage: Bacteria
Description: partial 16S ribosomal RNA
Rfam family: Bacterial small subunit ribosomal RNA
Source: RNAcentral